Pocillopora verrucosa is the source of this 2379-nucleotide RNA transcript. It is a transcript of the gene named UDP-GalNAc:beta-1,3-N-acetylgalactosaminyltransferase 2-like, with no coding region annotated. The record is from RefSeq and is a predicted model, not a curated record. Lineage: Eukaryota; Metazoa; Cnidaria; Anthozoa; Scleractinia; Pocilloporidae.
UGCACUUUUCGGCCCUUAGAACCCGAUGCAGGGAGGAUGGAAACUUUUCAUCGUUUUAAUGAGCAUUGCCUGGCAACUGAUCUUAGUAACCGAAUAUUUUACUGAUAAAGAGGUCAAUGGAAUAUUUUCAAAUGGAAACUUCUCUUUACCACCAAGUUAUGAUGUAGUCAUUGGUAUCUUAUCAGCAAGGGGUAAUACUGAGCAGCGCCAAGCACUCAGAGAAACAUGGGUUGGACAUGCCCUACAACACCCCUCCCUGGGGCAAAGGAUAUUGAUCAAGUUCAUAGUUGGCAGUCAGCCAUGUCCCAUACCAGCAUUAGACAGGCUUGAUCAGUAUUCCUGUGAACCAGACGUUGUUGUUGACCCAGUACUGCAGCAAGACAUCAUAGCUUACAUGGUUCCUAAAGGAGCAGUUGGAUAUCACUAUCACAAUGGCCCCUUGGGUAUGGACUUCAGGGUGAAUUUUCCUAUAAUUAUCACUCAGCUUGGAGUAUUUGACAGCAAUUCAGAUGGAAUUAAAAGUCAGCUGACAGUUCGUCUUUAUGACAAAGUCUCACAGGCGGAAGUACUGAGUGUGAACUUUACCCAAGAUGAACCUGGAGAGUUGAUUGGUGGAAGUAGAUUUAAACCUGUUGACCAGUUUCUCUUGCCAAAGGGAUUUGAAGGUUCCAUCGUUGGAGAGAACUUCAGUUUGUCUGAUCCCAGCAGUAACAACCCUUUGGUACAUGGUGGAUUUGACAGUGGUGGAGGUUUGAUUUCAUUUCACAGUGUGAGUCGCUUUGGAGUGAAGCAAAGCGUUUUCCCAGAAUUUGAAGAAAAAUUCUUUGAAGAGGACAACCAAUAUGGUGCUGGAUCAUUUAUGUACCGCGCUUAUGUUGUAGAUGACGAAUUUACGAAGGAAACGAUGGAGGAAAGGAAGAGAGAAAGGACUGAAAGAACGAAAAUGUGGCAUAAAGUUUUGUUGCGGGAAGAAAAAGAAUUGGAACGAGAGAUGCAGCUGUAUGAUGAUAUUUUGAUGGUGGACGUUGUAGAUGUUUACCGAAACCUUCCAAUGAAAUUACUUAAAUUUUAUUCUUGGGUUGCACUGAAUAUGAAGUUUAACUUCACUCUCAAAACCGACGAUGACUGCUUUGUGCACUUAGAAUCAAUUGUCGAGGGACUCAAUGAUAGAAAGUUGCGAGGGAAAGAGCGCACUUGGUGGAGCAGGUUUCGCACUGCUUGGCCAGUGGAGCGCGUAGGAAAAUGGCGGGAACUUGACUACACCGCUCCUGUGUACCCGUCAUUCGCCUGUGGCGCUGGUAAUGUGUUGUCUGCUGACCUAGUGAGAUGGCUGGCGUUGAACGCCGACAACCUUAAACCAUACCAGGGUGAAGAUGUUUCUGUUGGAAUUUGGCUUUCGGCGUUGGGACCAAACUUAGUCAAUGAUUACCGCUGGUCAUGUGGACGCGAGUGUGAUACGGGAACUUUCACUUCCCCUGAAAAUGAACCCGAGGAACUGCGAGAGAUGUGGGCUGAUCUACAGGCAUGUGGGGAUCCCUGUGGCUGUUCCUAGAUCACAAAGUUUAUUGAACUUCAAAGGUAGAGAGAAGCACUGUUGUCCAAGAACAAAACGCAACUACCUGGCCAAUUCUCGAAUCCUGACCUCGAUCUCGACUCGAAGUCCAGAGCGCUAACUUCAAGCCGCUGCAUUUCCAACUUACUCCAGAUGAGUACCCAUGAAUUCCAUUAAAUUAUCAGAUGCAUAUCCGAGUCCUUUCCCCUCUCCUUCAUCAGAUUCAGAGGACUCCUGCUCGUCACACUGGUUAAUGUCAAUGUCGCUAAGUACCACAUCGAUACUGACCACACCUCUAGCAACCAUAAAACAGAGAUUAGAGACAUCAAUGCUAUUGAUAAUACCCGUAAGAUAAAUAUGUAGAACUUUCUAGAAUUCUCAGCCAAGCUGACAUGCAUACCAUUGAACUUUCUGGAGCAUUCCAUUAGGUCUUGUAGUCGUGAUGUAAUACUACCAAAAUAGUGGUGUUGUAAACUUUCAUGUAGAAUACUUUGUGAGUGUAUAUAAGAACUCAGUUGUGUAGAAGUAGUAGUUGUUGUUGUUGUUGUCGGGAGUGACUUACGGUUGGGAAAGCUAUACCGAGAGAGAGCUACUGUAGAAGACUGUUCAUUUCGAGGAACUUUGGAGACAAAUGUGUGUUUGUGUCAGUGGUGAGCUAAGAAAUAGAUUGUAAUGGGCUUAAGCUUGUUGAGGAUAAUUACCGUACUGCCUUUAGGAUUCGCUCUUUCUUAAGAAUAUUGCAAUUCUCGUUUAAGUAGUUGGGUCUGUAGGAUUGAAGUGGUCUUUCUGUCGAUUAAAUUAUACCGUGAAACUAAUUGGAUUGAAAG